RNAcentral lists this ribosomal RNA (405 nucleotides) under Dendropsophus leucophyllatus (Bereis' treefrog). Its description in RNAcentral is "partial 16S ribosomal RNA". It matches the Rfam family "Bacterial large subunit ribosomal RNA", at positions 1834 to 2422 of the family's 2925-position model. Lineage: Eukaryota; Metazoa; Chordata; Amphibia; Anura; Hylidae. The record is from RNAcentral.
CUUGCACUAAUAUAAGAGGUCCAGCCUGCCCAGUGACCCAGUUCAACGGCCGCGGUAUCCUAACCGUGCGAAGGUAGCGUAAUCACUUGUUCUUUAAAUGAGGACUAGUAUGAAUGGCACCACGAAGGUUACGCUGUCUCCUUUUUCUGAUCAAUGAAACUAAUCUCCCCGUGAAGAAGCGGGAAUUUAAAUAUAAGACGAGAAGACCCUAUGGAGCUUCAAACUAUAUAGCAUUGGCUUUAAUCCAUUUUCACCCCCGGGUUCUCAUACCAACUUUAGCCUUUUAACUAUUAGUUUUGGGUUGGGGUGACCGCGGAGCAAAAAUUAUCCUCCAUGAUGAAUAGAACUACUCUUGAACCAAAAGCCACAACUUUAAGCACCGAUAAACUGACAUAAAUUGACCCA